CUGAGUAGAAGGAGUUGGGACUCAGGGAAGAGACAGUUCAACUGAAGGAACAAAUUUCUUUCAUCAUUGGGAUAGGAUGAAGGAAAGACUACAAGCAAAAGCAAGGGGAUGAAAGAAAGCCAGACAAUGUGAUUCAGACUGUCUGGGAAGAAAAGGACAGGAGAGUGAGUAGGAGGAGCUAAGAUAGGUGAUGUAAUGGCUAUUGAAUCAGGAAGACCUAAAUUCAGUGCAUGAACCUGGAAUGCCUGUGGCUUCACCAAAUUCAAAACCUAAAAACAAACCCAGAGGAACUGAGAACCUGAUUACAUAAUUUGAUUCUCCAGACUUCUCCACAAUGUCCCAG
Molecule: long non-coding RNA, 343 nt
Filed under: Monodelphis domestica (gray short-tailed opossum)
Lineage: Eukaryota; Metazoa; Chordata; Mammalia; Didelphimorphia; Didelphidae
Description: lncRNA (ENSMODG00000048145.1)
Source: RNAcentral